This 717-nucleotide ribosomal RNA is filed under the name uncultured Actinomycetales bacterium. RNAcentral describes it as "bacterial SSU rRNA". It matches the Rfam family "Bacterial small subunit ribosomal RNA", at positions 32 to 765 of the family's 1533-position model. The record is from RNAcentral. Lineage: Bacteria; Bacillati; Actinomycetota; Actinomycetes; Actinomycetales.
AACGCUGGCGGCGUGCUUAACACAUGCAAGUCGAACGGAAAGGCCUUUUCGGAGGUACUCGAGUGGCGAACGGGUGAGUAACACGUGGGUGAUCUGCCCUGCACUCUGGGAUAAGCCUGGGAAACUGGGUCUAAUACCGGAUAGGACCGCACUUUAGUGUGUGUGGUGGAAAGUUUUUUCGGUGUAGGAUGAGCCCGCGGCCUAUCAGCUUGUUGGUGGGGUAAUGGCCUACCAAGGCGGCGACGGGUAGCCGGACUGAGAGGUUGGUCGGCCACAUUGGGACUGAGAUACGGCCCAGACUCCUACGGGAGGCAGCAGUGGGGAAUAUUGCACAAUGGGCGCAAGCCUGAUGCAGCGACGCCGCGUGGGGGAUGACGGCCUUCGGGUUGUAAACUCCUUCCGCCAGGGACGAAGCGUUUUGUGACGGUACCUGGAGAAGAAGCACCGGCUAACUACGUGCCAGCAGCCGCGGUAAUACGUAGGGUGCAAGCGUUGUCCGGAAUUACUGGGCGUAAAGAGCUCGUAGGUGGUUUGUCACGUCGUCUGUGAAAUUCCACAGCUUAACUGUGGGCGUGCAGGCGAUACGGGCUGACUUGAGUACUGUAGGGGUAACUGGAAUUCCUGGUGUAGCGGUGAAAUGCGCAGAUAUCAGGAGGAACACCGAUGGCGAAGGCAGGUUACUGGGCAGUUACUGACGCUGAGGAGCGAAAGCAUGGG